GAUGAACGCUAGCUACAGGCUUAACACAUGCAAGUCGCAGGGAAACAUGAGGAAAGCUUGCUUUCCUUGAUGACGACUGGCGCACGGGUGAGUAACGCGUAUCCAACCUUCCCAUAACUACGGGAUAACCCGUUGAAAGACGGCCUAAUACCGUAUGAUAUCGUUUGCUGACAUCAAAUAACGAUUAAAGGUUUAGCGGUUAUGGAUGGGGAUGCGUCUGAUUAGCUUGUUGGCGGGGUAACGGCCCACCAAGGCGACGAUCAGUAGGGGUUCUGAGAGGAAGGUCCCCCACAUUGGAACUGAGACACGGUCCACACUCCUACGGGAGGCAGCAGUGAGGAAUAUUGGUCAAUGGGCGAGAGCCUGAACCAGCCAAGUAGCGUGCAGGAUGACGGCCCUAUGGGUUGUAAACUGCUUUUAUGUGAGGAUAAAGUGCGUGACGUGUCAUGCAUUGAAGGUACCACAUGAAUAAGGACCGGCUAAGUCCGUG
This 490-nucleotide ribosomal RNA is filed under the name uncultured bacterium. RNAcentral's name for it is "partial 16S ribosomal RNA". It matches the Rfam family "Bacterial small subunit ribosomal RNA", at positions 28 to 507 of the family's 1533-position model. The record is from RNAcentral.